Molecule: ribosomal RNA, 245 nt
Filed under: uncultured Terrimonas sp.
Lineage: Bacteria; Pseudomonadati; Bacteroidota; Chitinophagia; Chitinophagales; Chitinophagaceae
Description: partial 16S ribosomal RNA
Rfam family: Bacterial small subunit ribosomal RNA
Source: RNAcentral
UACGGAGGGUGCAAGCGUUAUCCGGAUUCACUGGGUUUAAAGGGUGCGUAGGUGGCUUGGUAAGUCAGUGGUGAAAGCCCGGAGCUCAACUCCGGAACUGCCAUUGAUACUGCUUAGCUUGAAUCAGGUCGAGGUGGAUGGAAUAUUACAUGUAGCGGUGAAAUGCUUAGAUAUGUAAUAGAACACCGAUUGCGAAGGCAGUUCACUAGGCCUGUAUUGACACUGAGGCACGAAAGCGUGGGGAU